RNAcentral lists this microRNA precursor (83 nucleotides) under Ovis aries (sheep). Its description in RNAcentral is "miRNA (ENSOARG00000021692.1)". The record is from RNAcentral. Lineage: Eukaryota; Metazoa; Chordata; Mammalia; Artiodactyla; Bovidae.
UAUUAGGUUGGCCAAAAAGUUAGUUUGGAUUUUUCUGUACCACCUUAUGGGAAAUCCCAAAUGAACUUUUUGGCCAAUCCAAU